RNAcentral lists this ribosomal RNA (492 nucleotides) under uncultured bacterium. RNAcentral's name for it is "partial 16S ribosomal RNA". It matches the Rfam family "Bacterial small subunit ribosomal RNA", at positions 29 to 507 of the family's 1533-position model. The record is from RNAcentral.
AGUGAACGCUGGCGGUAGGCCUAACACAUGCAAGUCGAACGGCAGCACAGUAAGAGCUUGCUCUUACGGGUGGCGAGUGGCGGACGGGUGAGGAAUACAUCGGAAUCUACUUUUUCGUGGGGGAUAACGUAGGGAAACUUACGCUAAUACCGCAUACGACCUACGGGUGAAAGCAGGGGAUCUUCGGACCUUGCGCGAUUGAAUGAGCCGAUGUCGGAUUAGCUAGUUGGCGGGGUAAAGGCCCACCAAGGCGACGAUCCGUAGCUGGUCUGAGAGGAUGUUCAGCCACACUGGAACUGAGACACGGUCCAGACUCCUACGGGAGGCAGCAGUUGGGAAUGUUGGACAAAGGGCGCAAGCCUGAUCCAGCCAUACCGCGUGGGUGAAGAAGGCCUUCGGGUUGUAAAGCCCUUUUGUUGGGAAAGAAAAGCAGCAGGUUAAUACCCCGCUGUUCUGACGGUACCCAAAGAAUAAGCACCGGCUAACUUCGUG